Molecule: ribosomal RNA, 255 nt
Filed under: Triticum aestivum (bread wheat)
Lineage: Eukaryota; Viridiplantae; Streptophyta; Magnoliopsida; Poales; Poaceae
Description: partial small subunit ribosomal RNA
Source: RNAcentral
AUGGAGCCACGUAUCUUCCGGGCUUUGGCAUCUUAUCUUAGAAGAGAAAAUUUCAUAUCGGAUACAAGAAUUAAGCUGGAGGAGAAGUUAGCCUUUUUCCUGUACAUGGUGUCUCACAAUGCAUCUGAUGAAGAUCUCCAGCUAGAAUUUCAACAUAGUGGACAAACAUUUCAUGAUGCAUUCAAUCGAGAACCAAGUGAAACUUCCCGCAGCUGCCGCAGUUCUUCACAAUAUCAUCAAAAUGGAGAAUGGUGA